AGAGUUUGAUCCUGGCUCAGAACGAACGCUGGCGGCAGGCUUAACACAUGCAGGUCGAACGGUCUCUUCGGAGGCAGUGGCAGACGGGUGAGUAACGCGUGGGAAUCUACCUAGUUCUACGGAACAACAGUUGGAAACGACUGCUAAUACCGUAUACGCCCUAAGGGGGAAAGAUUUAUCGGAAUUAGAUGAGCCCGCGUAAGAUUAGCUAGUUGGUGAGGUAAUGGCUCACCAAGGCGACGAUCUUUAGCUGGUCUGAGAGGAUGAUCAGCCACACUGGGACUGAGACACGGCCCAGACUCCUACGGGAGGCAGCAGUGGGGAAUAUUGGACAAUGGGCGCAAGCCUGAUCCAGCCAUGCCGCGUGAGUGAUGAAGGCCUUAGGGUUGUAAAGCUCUUUCACCGAUGAAGAUAAUGACGGUAGUCGGAGAAGAAGCCCCGGCUAACUUCGUACCAGCCGCCGCGGUAAUAC
Molecule: ribosomal RNA, 472 nt
Filed under: uncultured bacterium
Lineage: Bacteria
Description: bacterial SSU rRNA
Rfam family: Bacterial small subunit ribosomal RNA
Source: RNAcentral